UACGUAGGGUGCAAGCGUUAAUCGGAAUUACUGGGCGUAAAGCGUGCGCAGGCGGUUUUGUAAGCCAGGUGUGAAAUCCCCGGGCUUAACCUGGGAAUGGCAUUUGGGACUGCAAGGCUGGAGGGCGGCAGAGGAGACUGGAAUUCCCGGUGUAGCAGUGAAAUGCGUAGAUAUCAGGAGGAACACCGAUGGCGAAGGCAGGUCUCUGGGCUGACACUGACGCUCAUGCACGAAAGCGUGGGGAGCAAACAGG
Molecule: ribosomal RNA, 253 nt
Filed under: uncultured bacterium
Lineage: Bacteria
Description: partial 16S ribosomal RNA
Rfam family: Bacterial small subunit ribosomal RNA
Source: RNAcentral